GAGAAAGCUUGCGAGGACUGCUAAUCCAUGCCUCCGUACUUAACAAAACGGCUAUCUCA
This 59-nucleotide transfer RNA is filed under the name Trachypithecus francoisi (Francois's langur). RNAcentral describes it as "tRNA-Ser". The record is from RNAcentral. Lineage: Eukaryota; Metazoa; Chordata; Mammalia; Primates; Cercopithecidae.